This 509-nucleotide ribosomal RNA is filed under the name uncultured bacterium. RNAcentral describes it as "partial 16S ribosomal RNA". It matches the Rfam family "Bacterial small subunit ribosomal RNA", at positions 29 to 523 of the family's 1533-position model. The record is from RNAcentral.
AUUGAACGCUGGCGGCAGGCCUAACACAUGCAAGUCGAGCGGCAGCGGGAAAGUAGCUUGCUACUUUUGCCGGCGAGCGGCGGACGGGUGAGUAAUGCCUGGGGAUCUGCCCAGUCGAGGGGGAUAACUACUGGAAACGGUAGCUAAUACCGCAUACGCCCUACGGGGGAAAGCAGCGGACCUUCGGGCCCUGCGCGAUUGGAGGAACCCAGGUGGGAUUAGCUAGUUGGUGAGGUAAUGGCUCACCAAGGCGACGAUCCCUAGCCGGUCUGAGAGGAUGAUCAGCCACACUGGAACUGAGACACGGUCCAGACUCCUACGGGAGGCAGCAGUGGGGAAUAUUGCACAAUGGGGGAAACCCUGAUGCAGCCAUGCCGCGUGUGUGAAGAAGGCCUUCGGGUUGUAAAGCACUUUCAGCGAGGAGGAAAGGUUGAUGCCUAAUACGUAUCAACUGUGACGUUACUCGCAGAAGAAGCACCGGCUAACUCCGUGCCAGCAGCCGCAGGUAA